GUCUUUAGUCCUAUCUUAAGACGAUUCUUGUCCAUCGUCAACUCCUAUUUCAUCAGGCUAUCAACUUAUUGGGCAGACGUUGGUCUUCAUACAUAGUCUUUUGGUGGAGAAUUCAAAUGCGUAGAGAUGGAAAAAAAAACACCAACGAUGAAAGCAUACGGUUGGAUCAUUACCAACACUAAAAGACGAAAGCUAAGGGAGUGAUUGAGAUUAGAUACCCUGGUAGUAUUAGCCGUAAAUGAUGGAUGCUAGGCACUC
This 258-nucleotide ribosomal RNA is filed under the name Olea europaea subsp. europaea. Its description in RNAcentral is "SSU_rRNA_bacteria". Lineage: Eukaryota; Viridiplantae; Streptophyta; Magnoliopsida; Lamiales; Oleaceae. The record is from RNAcentral.